CCUANGGGGGGCAGCAGUGGGGAAUAUUGGACAAUGGGCGAAAGCCUGAUCCAGCAAUGCCGCGUGUGUGAUGAAGGCCUGCGGGUUGUAAAGCACUUUCGGUAAGGAAGAAAUGCUCAAAGCUAAUACCUUUGAGAGUUGACGUUACUUACAGAAGAAGCACCGGCUAACUCUGUGCCAGCAGCCGCGGUAAUACAGAGGGUGCAAGCGUUAAUCGGAGUUACUGGGCGUAAAGGGCGCGUAGGCGGAUAUUUAAGUCGGGUGUGAAAUCCCUGGGCUCAACCUAGGAAUUGCAUUCGAUACUGGAUGUCUAGAGUAUGGUAGAGGAAAGUGGAAUUCCCGGUGUAGUGGUUAAAUACGUAGAUAUCGGGAGGAACACCAGUGGCGAAGGCGGCUUUCUGGCCCAAUACUGACGCUGAGGCGCGAAAGCGUGGGGAGCAAACAGGAUUAGAUACCCCGNUAGUC
This 465-nucleotide ribosomal RNA is filed under the name uncultured bacterium. Its description in RNAcentral is "bacterial SSU rRNA". It matches the Rfam family "Bacterial small subunit ribosomal RNA", at positions 338 to 795 of the family's 1533-position model. The record is from RNAcentral.